UACGAAGGGUGCAAGCGUUACUCGGAAUUACUGGGCGUAAAGCGUGCGUAGGUGGUGAGUUAAGUCUGUCGUGAAAGCCCCGGGCUCAACCUGGGAAUGGCGAUGGAUACUGGCUCGCUAGAGUGCGGUAGAGGAGAGUGGAAUUCCCGGUGUAGCAGUGAAAUGCGUAGAGAUCGGGAGGAACAUCAGUUGCGAAGGCGGCUCUCUGGACCAGCACUGACACUGAGGAGCGAAAGCCAGGGGAGCAAACGGG
RNAcentral lists this ribosomal RNA (253 nucleotides) under uncultured bacterium. RNAcentral describes it as "partial 16S ribosomal RNA". It matches the Rfam family "Bacterial small subunit ribosomal RNA", at positions 524 to 776 of the family's 1533-position model. The record is from RNAcentral.